CAGGAUGAAGACAUUAUAACUGUAAAAGUCAAAUGUAGGAAUUUGGGUCUAACAUGUUUAUAUAGAUGAGCAUAUUUUAGUUUGGAGGUCAGUUUAUAUGGAAUGGAUCUUCAAGGUCCCUUCCAACCCUAGCCAUUCUAUGAUCAUUUGCCAUCUAUAAGAACAGUGAAUUUGUACUCUAUAGGCACUAUGGCUAGUGGCUUAUCAAAGCCCCACUGGACAGUAAUGCAGUAUUCCAAGUACCAUAGUUCUGAUUUUUCCAGUCACUGUCCUGAUAUCUUCUCUGGGAAUUAUGAUUGCAUAUUGCAGAUAGAGAACAAAUAUUCUUCAAUGCAAGUAACAUAUUUUGAAUUCUUUAAACAGACUUACUGCAUAAGUUCUAUCUAAUUUAAAAUAUCUGUAAAUAGAUUAUCUGCAUUUUUAUUCGAGUUCUGUGUGAGGUGUAUUAUAUUUAUUUUAUAAAAUUUAAUAAAAAU
Molecule: long non-coding RNA, 476 nt
Filed under: Anas platyrhynchos platyrhynchos (common mallard)
Lineage: Eukaryota; Metazoa; Chordata; Aves; Anseriformes; Anatidae
Description: lncRNA (ENSAPLG00000025131.1)
Source: RNAcentral